CCCCUAGAUGUCCGGGGCUGCACGCGCGCUACACUGAAGGAAUCAGCGUGCUAAAACCAUUGUCGAAAGGCAUUGGUAAACCCAUUAAAAUCCUACGUGAUUGGGAUCGGGAAUUGCAAUUAUUUCCCUUGAACGAGGAAUUCCCAGUAAGUGUGGGUCAUAAGCUCGCGUUGAUUACGUCCCUGCCCUUUGUACACACCGCCCGUCGCUGCCCGGGACUGAGCCGUUUCGAGAAAAGCGGGGACUGCUGCUGUCGGGGCUUUCGGGCCUUGGCUUCGGUGGAAACCGCUUUAAUCGCAGUGGCUUGAACCGGGCAAAAGUCGUAACA
RNAcentral lists this ribosomal RNA (328 nucleotides) under uncultured eukaryote. RNAcentral's name for it is "partial 18S ribosomal RNA". It matches the Rfam family "Eukaryotic small subunit ribosomal RNA", at positions 1470 to 1796 of the family's 1831-position model. The record is from RNAcentral.